UCCUCAUUUUGAUAACUUGAGACUGAAAAAGAAAAAGCUCAAAACCAUUUAUCUUGAGAUAACUAAAGUUGAUUUUUUCAACUUAGGGUCCAUAAGAAUCAAAAUAUUUCUCAUAUUAAUUAAUUAGCCGCUUUCACUAGUGAUGAUUAAUUGGUAACCACCUGGAGAUAUUAAACAUAAUUUGAAAGCAGAGUAUCAUCUAAAUUCUAAAAUUCUAAAUGCAAAUAAAUAAUAGCAUAUGUAAUAACUAAGUCGGUGACUGCUAGGGCAGCAAAAUUUCCAACACAUAGUUUAAAGGAUAAACUUGCAUGUACAAUGGAAAAAUGUACCAAAAGAGAACAUUGAUGAGCUACCUUCACUAUCAAUAUAAGAAUCUG
This 377-nucleotide unclassified non-coding RNA is filed under the name Hevea brasiliensis (rubber tree). The record is from RNAcentral. Lineage: Eukaryota; Viridiplantae; Streptophyta; Magnoliopsida; Malpighiales; Euphorbiaceae.